This 429-nucleotide ribosomal RNA is filed under the name Actinomycetes bacterium. RNAcentral describes it as "Actinobacteria bacterium partial 16S ribosomal RNA". It matches the Rfam family "Bacterial small subunit ribosomal RNA", at positions 355 to 776 of the family's 1533-position model. Lineage: Bacteria; Bacillati; Actinomycetota; Actinomycetes. The record is from RNAcentral.
UAGGGAAUCUUCCGCAAUGGGCGAAAGCCUGACGGAGCAACGCCGCGUGAGUGAUGAAGGUCUUCGGAUCGUAAAACUCUGUUAUUAGGGAAGAACAUAUGUGUAAGUAACUAUGCACGUCUUGACGGUACCUAAUCAGAAAGCCACGGCUAACUACGUGCCAGCAGCCGCGGUAAUACGUAGGUGGCAAGCGUUAUCCGGAAUUAUUGGGCGUAAAGCGCGCGUAGGCGGUUUUUUAAGUCUGAUGUGAAAGCCCACGGCUCAACCGUGGAGGGUCAUUGGAAACUGGAAAUCUUGAGUGCAGAAGAGGAAAGUGGAAUUCCAUGUGUAGCGGUGAAAUGCGCAGAGAUAUGGAGGAACACCAGUGGCGAAGGCGACUUUCUGGUCUGUAACUGACGCUGAUGUGCGAAAGCGUGGGGAUCAAACAGG